This is a long non-coding RNA of Anneissia japonica, 807 nucleotides long. RefSeq lists it as uncharacterized. NCBI's taxonomy places the organism in Eukaryota, Metazoa, Echinodermata, Crinoidea, Comatulida, Comatulidae. The record is from RefSeq and is a predicted model, not a curated record. The transcript is spliced from 2 exons.
ACCAAGAAGGUAGCAACUCCAGUUAACUGGACGCAUGGUGGAAAGUGCAUGGUUUUGCCAUCUAUCAAGAAGGAAGAUGAAAGUAAAUUUUUCCCCAAAGGUGUUGAAACUGUGUCUGUGCCAUCUGGAAAAGGCUACCUUCGCUACACCCCACAACCUGAAUAGACAGUUUCGAAAACCACCAAGUCUUGUAACUGAAACAAUGACUUCUAGAAUCUUCCCUAAUAAAAGGGAAUGUGAAAAACAAUCUUGAUUUUAUAUACCUUGUGUUUUAGGUCCUAGACACUCUUGUUGAUAAGAUGUAAUCUAUUUAGGUACUGCUAACCUUUUUAAUAUUUAGUUUUGUAUUAGAAUCUUGGUUUUUAAUUUUAAUUUUUUUUAAAAAUACAUUUAUAUUCAUUUCUUGUCUUAAAACAAACAUGUGUGUUUUUACAAAUCUGGGAUUACCAUGCAAAAAAAGGUAUUUUUCAAAUUUGAGAAUAUUUAUUACCAAAGCGAUUUGAGAAUGCUUUAAAUACUAAUAUGGGAAUGUUUUUAAAAUUUAUUAGUAUUUUUAUAAUGUUCUUGUACCACUGUAAGAAUAUUAUGUUUGAGAAUGUUCAUGUACAAAACUUGAAUGUUCUUUUAACAAUGUUUGGCAAUGAUAGAAUGUGAAUUCACAUUACGGUAUACUAGGUAGGGAGUUGUAAUUCACUCCUUGAUUAUCCAAAGUAAAUUAGAAUAUCAAGUGUUAUUUUUUUUUAAUCUCUUUGUUAUGGGUACUUUACUUGCUCUGAUUCAAUCAUAAUAAAACUGAAUUUCUUACAA